CAGGCCUAACACAUGCAAGUCGAACGAUGCUUUCGGGCAUAGUGGCGCACGGGUGCGUAACGCGUGGGAAUCUGCCCCUUGGUUCGGAAUAACAGCUAUAAAUGGCUGCUAAUACCGGAUGACGACGUAAGUCCAAAGAUUUAUCGCCGAGGGAUGAGCCCGCGUAGGAUUAGCUUGUUGGUGAGGUAAUGGCUCACCAAGGCGUCCACGGGUAGCCGGCCUGAGAGGGUGACCGGCCACACUGGGACUGAGACACGGCCCAGACUCCUACGGGAGGCAGCAAUGGGGAAUAUUGCACAAUGGGCGGAAGCCUGAUCCAGCCAUGCCGCGUGAGUGAUGAAGGCCUUACGGUUGUAAAGCUCUUUUGUCCGGGACGAUAAUGACGGUACCGGAAGAAUAAGCCCCGGCUAACUUCGUGCCAGCAGCCGCGGUAAU
This 435-nucleotide ribosomal RNA is filed under the name uncultured bacterium. RNAcentral describes it as "bacterial SSU rRNA". It matches the Rfam family "Bacterial small subunit ribosomal RNA", at positions 43 to 524 of the family's 1533-position model. The record is from RNAcentral.